RNAcentral lists this long non-coding RNA (695 nucleotides) under Androctonus crassicauda. Lineage: Eukaryota; Metazoa; Arthropoda; Arachnida; Scorpiones; Buthidae. The record is from RNAcentral.
UACCAAGGUGGUCAAACAACCCGAUGGCUAUGGCUUACAAGAAGUCGGCCUUUAGAAGCAUGUUUAGAAGGGCACUAUUAUAUUGUACAAAAAGAGAGGCUUUGGACAAGGAAUUGAUAUACAUAAUGGACAUAGGAAGAAGGCAUGGAUACUCUAAAUCAUUCCUGAGAGGAAUUUUACAACAGGUUGAGAAUAAGCAAAAGAGGAGAGAUAGAGGAAGGCAAUGGUUUCUUACCGGUCCCUUAUGGCAUGAAGAACCUGGGAGUAAUACAAAAGAUAGCUAGAAAGAAUAAAAAAUGAAUAGCACCAGAAAGAAACCCAACAGUGUUUAAUACAUUAAGGAAUGAUAAAGAUAAGCUAGAGCAAACAAAAAAGAGUGGGGUAUAUAGAAUACCAAUAAAGGUUGACGACACGAAUGAAGAAACAGCAUACAUAGGAGUAACCGCAAGAACAAUAGAACGGUGUAUCGAAGAACAUGAGAAAGAUAUAUCAAGUGCAAAACUUACAACAGCCCUAGCAUGUGAGGCUUAUAAUAGGAAUAUUACCAUUGGCUGGAAAAAAGUUCAGAGAAUCAAGCCGAUACCGAAACAUGCACAACUGACGAUAGUGGAAUCUAUAGAGAUUUUACGCAGAGCGGGAAGAGGAGAGAAGCUGGUGAAUGACAAGUUGGCCUGGGAGCCUUCAGCUGCAUGGAG